UGUUUUAAACAUAAUUGAACCCCGGAAUAUCAAAAUACUGCACGCCAACUUAAAUGUACAUGUAUGUACAUGUGCUGUACUCCGGACUAACGAAAACACGGAAACAAACAUGAAACUAUAAUAUUUUUAUUUUAAUAGCAAUUCAGUUAUAAAACAAAGAAAUUUUGUUAAUAUGAUUUUUAUUUGUCAUGUGAUUUUUGUUUAUAAUCAUAUAUCAUCUAUUUUGAUUGGUUUUCUAGCAACUGGAGGCUAUUUAGUGGUUCGAUCUCAAUACCUCGUUAUAAUGCCAAUAUUUCCCAAGUCCUGAUGGUGGCGGUAUAACGAGGUUUUACUGUAAUAUGGAUAAUUUAGCAGGUAAUAAAUGAAUUAGUGAAAAAGACAUGUCAUUGAUUGUUUUCAUGAUCAAGUAAACAUAUAAUUAUUAAUUACAUUCACACUUCAGUGCCUCCAAGUUUCAAAUAAAUAUUGUUUCUGUCUAUUUUGCCAGUUUAUGUAAUAAAAUACUGAAGAGCCCAUAUAAUAAGUAACAAAUGCUUCUAUUAAUUAUCCUAA
Priapulus caudatus is the source of this 552-nucleotide long non-coding RNA. RefSeq lists it as uncharacterized. NCBI's taxonomy places the organism in Eukaryota, Metazoa, Priapulida, Priapulimorpha, Priapulimorphida, Priapulidae. The record is from RefSeq and is a predicted model, not a curated record. The transcript has 3 exons.